CAGCCGCCGCGGUAAUACGUAGGUGGCAAGCGUUGUCCGGAAUUAUUGGGCGUAAAGGGCUCGCAGGCGGUUUCUUAAGUCUGAUGUGAAAGCCCCCGGCUCAACCGGGGAGGGUCAUUGGAAACUGGGGAACUUGAGUGCAGAAGAGGAGAGUGGAAUUCCACGUGUAGCGGUGAAAUGCGUAGAGAUGUGGAGGAACACCAGUGGCGAAGGCGACUCUCUGGUCUGUAACUGACGCUGAGGAGCGAAAGCGUGGGGAGCGAACAGGAUUAGAUACCCUGGUAGUCCACGCCGUAAACGAUGAGUGCUAAGUGUUAGGGGGUUUCCGCCCCUUAGUGCUGCAGCUAACGCAUUAAGCACUCCGCCUGGGGAGUACGGUCGCAAGACUGAAACUCAAAGGAAUUGACGGGGGCCCGCACAAGCGGUGGAGCAUGUGGUUUAAUUCGAAGCAACGCGAAGAACCUUACCAGGUCUUGACAUCCUCUGACAAUCCUAGAGAUAGGACGUCCCCUUCGGGGGCAGAGUGACAGGUGGUGCAUGGCC
This 543-nucleotide ribosomal RNA is filed under the name uncultured archaeon. Its description in RNAcentral is "bacterial SSU rRNA". It matches the Rfam family "Bacterial small subunit ribosomal RNA", at positions 509 to 1050 of the family's 1533-position model. The record is from RNAcentral.